Molecule: non-coding RNA, 185 nt
Filed under: Sporanaerobacter acetigenes
Lineage: Bacteria; Bacillati; Bacillota; Tissierellia; Tissierellales; Sporanaerobacteraceae
Also listed under: 1 other name
Source: RNAcentral
AUUGAAUAUGUAGAUGAAGGUACAGAGAAUUGUUUCUCUGUUUAAAAGGGAAACAGGUGGAAAUCCUGUACGGUCCCGCCGCUGUAAUGGCGAAGAAUUUAAAAUACAUGCCACUGAGAUAAUCGGGAAGGCUUUAAAUUCUAAUGAACCAAAGUCAGAAGACCUGCCUUUAUUUAUGCACCAAA